GGAUAGCUCAGUUGGCGAGAGCAUGGCGUCUAUAAUGCCAAGGUUGCAGAUUCAAUCGCCGUAAGGGACA
This is a non-coding RNA of Podarcis lilfordi (Lilford's wall lizard), 70 nucleotides long. NCBI's taxonomy places the organism in Eukaryota, Metazoa, Chordata, Lepidosauria, Squamata, Lacertidae. The record is from the annotation of a GenBank genome assembly.